Molecule: ribosomal RNA, 1434 nt
Filed under: uncultured organism
Description: 16S ribosomal RNA
Rfam family: Bacterial small subunit ribosomal RNA
Source: RNAcentral
ACGCUAGCUACAGGCUUAACACAUGCAAGUCGAGGGGCAGCAUGGUCUUAGCUUGCUAAGACUGAUGGCGACCGGCGCACGGGUGAGUAACACGUAUCCAACCUGCCGUCUACUCUUGGACAGCCUUCUGAAAGGAAGAUUAAUACAAGAUGGCAUCAUGAGUCCGCAUGUUCACAUGAUUAAAGGUAUUCCGGUAGACGAUGGGGAUGCGUUCCAUUAGAUAGUAGGCGGGGUAACGGCCCACCUAGUCUUCGAUGGAUAGGGGUUCUGAGAGGAAGGUCCCCCACAUUGGAACUGAGACACGGUCUAAACUCCUACGGGAGGCAGCAGUGAGGAAUAUUGGUCAAUGGGCGAGAGCCUGAACCAGCCAAGUAGCGUGAAGGAUGACUGCCCUAUGGGUUGUAAACUUCUUUUAUAAAGGAAUAAAGUCGGGUAUGCAUACCCGUUUGCAUGUACUUUAUGAAUAAGGAUCGGCUAACUCCGUGCCAGCAGCCGCGGUAAUACGGAGGAUCCGAGCGUUAUCCGGAUUUAUUGGGUUUAAAGGGAGCGUAGAUGGAUGUUUAAGUCAGUUGUGAAAGUUUGCGGCUCAACCGUAAAAUUGCAGUUGAUACUGGAUAUCUUGAGUGCAGUUGAGGCAGGCGGAAUUCGUGGUGUAGCGGUGAAAUGCUUAGAUAUCACGAAGAACUCCGAUUGCGAAGGCAGCCUGCUAAGCUGCAACUGACAUUGAGGCUCGAAAGUGUGGGUAUCAAACAGGAUUAGAUACCCUGGUAGUCCACACGGUAAACGAUGAAUACUCGCUGUUUGCGAUAUACUGCAAGCGGCCAAGCGAAAGCGUUAAGUAUUCCACCUGGGGAGUACGCCGGCAACGGUGAAACUCAAAGGAAUUGACGGGAGCCCGCACAAGCGGAGGAACAUGUGGUUUAAUUCGAUGAUACGCGAGGAACCUUACCCGGGCUUAAAUUGCAGAUGAAUUACGGUGAAAGCCGUAAGCCGCAAGGCAUCUGUGAAGGUGCUGCAUGGUUGUCGUCAGCUCGUGCCGUGAGGUGUCGGCUUAAGUGCCAUAACGAGCGCAACCCUUGUUGUCAGUUACUAACAGGUUCCGCUGAGGACUCUGACAAGACUGCCAUCGUAAGAUGUGAGGAAGGUGGGGAUGACGUCAAAUCAGCACGGCCCUUACGUCCGGGGCUACACACGUGUUACAAUGGGGGGUACAGAGGGCCGCUACCACGCGAGUGGAUGCCAAUCCCCAAAACCUCUCUCAGUUCGGACUGGAGUCUGCAACCCGACUCCACGAAGCUGGAUUCGCUAGUAAUCGCGCAUCAGCCACGGCGCGGUGAAUACGUUCCCGGGCCUUGUACACACCGCCCGUCAAGCCAUGGGAGCCGGGGGUACCUGAAGUGCGUAACCGCGAGGAGCGCCCUAGGGUAAAACUGG